AAGGGGAGGGCAAGUCGUAACACGGUAAGUGUACCGGAAGGUGCACUUGGAACAAACCCAGAGUAUGGCUGAGUUAAUUAAGCAUCUCACUUACACCGAGAAGACAUCCAUGAAAACUGGAUUACCCUGAGCCAAACAGCUAGCUUAUUUACCAACACAACUAAACAAUAUAAAUAAAAUAAAAUUAACCAAACACCACAAGACUAAAUCAUUCUUUUACCUGAGUAUGGGAGACAGAAAAGGUUAAACCAAAAGCAAUAGAAACAGUACCGCAAGGGAAAACUGAAAGAGAAAUGAAACAACCCAUAUAAGCACUAAAAAACAAAGACUAAGCCUUGUACCUUUUGCAUCAUGAUUUAGCUAGUAAAUAUCAAGCAAAGAGACCUUUAGUUUGAAGCCCCGAAACCAAGUGAGCUACCCCGAGACAACUAUUAGAGCCAACCCGUCUCUGUGGCAAAAGAGUGGGAAGAACUCCGGGUAGAAGUGACAGACCUACCGAACUUGGUGAUAGCUGGUUGCCUAAGAAACGAAUAGAAGUUCAGCCUCAUAUACCUUAAGCCAAAUAAUUACACCUUAACAAAGAUAUUAAAGAUAAAUAUGAGAGCUAGUUAAAGGGGGUACAGCCCCUUUAACAAAGGAUACAACCUUACUUAGAAGGAUAAAGAUCAUAAUAUAUAAAAUAUACUGUUCUAGUGGGCCUAAAAGCAGCCACCUAAACAGAAAGCGUUAAGG
This 732-nucleotide ribosomal RNA is filed under the name Osteochilus vittatus (bonylip barb). RNAcentral's name for it is "partial 16S ribosomal RNA". The stretch from base 320 to 732 matches the Rfam family "Bacterial large subunit ribosomal RNA", at positions 568 to 1140 of the family's 2925-position model. Lineage: Eukaryota; Metazoa; Chordata; Actinopteri; Cypriniformes; Cyprinidae. The record is from RNAcentral.